Molecule: long non-coding RNA, 975 nt
Organism: Leopardus geoffroyi (Geoffroy's cat)
Lineage: Eukaryota; Metazoa; Chordata; Mammalia; Carnivora; Felidae
Exons: 2
Source: RefSeq, a predicted model, not a curated record
CUAUAAGAUCAUGACCUGAGCCGAAGUCAGACGCUAAACCGAGCCACCCAGGGUGAAUUCUGGAACACCGCCGUUCUGCUGAGACCGGUGACCUGCGGGCUGGCAGGGCGGCCUGCAGCGAAGCGCGUGGCAGAGGAAAGGAAUUGUGGCUGCUCUCCGAGCGUCAGCUUGGACACCGAAGCGCUGGCCGGCCGAAGCUCUCCAGAGGACUUCGUUCUGGACACAACGAACCCGUCUCGAAAUGAGAAACCCACCCACAGAAAGUCUGCACAGAGCUUGCGGCUCAGUCAGGACUCACCCGCCAGGCCCCGGAGAUGAGCCUUGACGUCCUGGUCAGCAUCGCCGCUGCGAUCUGAAACACAGUGGAAAGGGAAAAGUCACCUGGGUGAUGGAUCCGUACCUAGAAUAUGUACAGAAAGGGCAGAAGACACAGAAGACUUUUCAAAGGAAAACAAAUGGCUACUAAACUCACGGAAAGAUUUUCAUCCUCAUUACAAAUUGGGGAAAUGUAAAGUAAAACCAGCACAGAGAGCUGCCAUUCAGUCAGCAUGCUGGGAAAAAGGAGGACAAGAGUGAGUGUCACAGAGGCUGUGAAGCCCUGGGGACACACCGUCACCGGGAGCACAGAUACAAUUAUCUUCGUUCAUUCAUUCAUUGGGGAAUAUACAUAUACGUGGUGACACUGGGAGACAGAGGAGGGGAAAGGAUCAGCACGUUGGGAAUAAUGCUGACUCCUGGGCGGAGGUAAAGGGCAGGACCGUGCAAAGCACAGAGAAUGGGAAUGAUCUACUUCUAAUCUGGAUAAUGGGGACAGGAGUUCUGUUUUACUAUUUUUGUAUCUUGUGUUUUUUUGUAUUCAAUUGUAUGUUGAAAAUAUCUCAGAAAAAUAACCCUAAUCUCUUGGGAGCUGAAAGAUGUUUAAAAUACUUAUAUGCAACUCUUAAUAUAAUAUAAUUAAAUCGAAUCUCCAGGUAA